Molecule: ribosomal RNA, 184 nt
Filed under: uncultured bacterium
Lineage: Bacteria
Description: partial 16S ribosomal RNA
Rfam family: Bacterial small subunit ribosomal RNA
Source: RNAcentral
CAUGAAGCCGGAAUCGCUAGUAAUCGCGGAUCAGAAUGCCGCGGUGAAUACGUUCCCGGGUCUUGUACACACCGCCCGUCACACCAUGGGAGUCGGAAAUGCCCGAAGCCGGUGACCCAACCCGAAAGGGAGGGAGCCGUCGAAGGCAGGUCGGAUGACUGGGGUGAAGUCGUAACAAGGUAGC